This 460-nucleotide ribosomal RNA is filed under the name uncultured bacterium. RNAcentral describes it as "bacterial SSU rRNA". It matches the Rfam family "Bacterial small subunit ribosomal RNA", at positions 30 to 504 of the family's 1533-position model. The record is from RNAcentral.
UGAACGCUGACAGAAUGCUUAACACAUGCAAGUCGACUGGAAUUCACCUUCGGGUGAUAGUACGGUGGCGGACGGGUGAGUAACGCGUAAAGAACUUGCCCUCUAGACUGGGACAACUGUUGGAAACGACAGCUAAUACCGGAUAUUAUGGGAACCUCGCAUGGGGAACUUAUGAAAGCUAUAUGCGCUAGAGGAGAGCUUUGCGUGCCAUUAGGUAGUUGGUAGGGUAAUGGCCUACCAAGCCGACGAUGGCUAGCCGGCCUGAGAGGGUGAUCGGCCACAAGGGGACUGAGACACGGCCCUUACUCCUACGGGAGGCAGCAGUGGGGAAUAUUGGACAAUGGGCCACAAGCCUGAUCCAGCAAUUCUGUGUGCACGAUGAAGGUUUUCGGAUCGUAAAGUGCUUUCAGCAGGGAAGAAAAAAAUGACGGUACCUGCAGAAGAAGCGACGGCUAAAUAC